AGAUUAUUUGAACCUCAAGUCGUGACGGCGACUCGUUUCCGUCAACCGACAGUAUCGUCGCAUCGUCAGGCAUAAAUAGAUCUCCACGAAGGAUAACGAAGACGGAUGUCGCCGAGCGGAAUUGAAGGUAUCGAUGGCGACGCCAGCGACGUGCUGCCGUCUGUGGACAGGACUCGGAAAUCUGACUAGAUGGAGAUUGGUUGUUGUUCGAUGGUUAUCGAGUAUUCCUUCGACUGCAAGUGGAAAUAUACAGCAAUGGUCAGACGUGUAUGGCAACUUCAAGCUGACUGAUGUACUGAUCGUCACUUAUAUGAAUUUAAACUGAGGAGCACACUUUUAACAUCUACCAAGCCUGCAAACAUUAUGUUUUGCCACUUAGUUUAAAAAAGCUCGAGGAUGCAGCUCGAGUAGAAGCGACGGUUACUGGAAUCGCUCGCGAUUAACUCACCGGAAGACGGAGGAGCUUCGCGACCGAGGAACUCUCGUUUUCCCUGUGCCCCGGGCCUUUUCAACAAUUUCCCGCCACUUUCCCUGCCUUCGUCUCUAGUAUGACUAGGCUGUGUAUGGUUUCAACGUUUCGAAACUCUCACCGAUAUUUGGAACCAUCGAGGGACAGUGUUCUCGCGAUUAGGAGCUGAAAUCUGGACUGCAACUGGGUCCUUUGCAAGAACAGACAGUAUCCAAGUGAUCUACGAUGCCUCCAGCCUCCGAAAAUCAGGACUGCAACCGUACUAGCGAGAACACUGUACGACGCUAGCCCAGAGGCAUAAGUUUCUGGAUCAAUUGGACGCUGUCCUCUGUUCUUGCAAAGGCAGGCGUCCUCUCGCAUAAGGGAACGCGACAACGAUGCCUGGCUACUCGAAGUGGCUCCGUAAUUAGUGGGAUCACCCUUUGACCGGGAAUGAAAAGUGGGAAUCACCGAGUCCGCUCGCGAGCGUUAAUUGCGUCCGUUCCCUGUCACCGUUGGCAUCCGGGUUGCGGAAGACUGGCCCCGGGAUCAAACAUGGGGCUAACAAUAGCCGCGUCGCGUCCACCCUGCACGACUCGCGGCGUUUUCAUUCCCGAUCGAUCGAAACCUCGAUCGGAUGCACAGAGGGAAUCGCUCUGCUUUCCAAUUGAACGGCCGGGACGUUGCUCGCGACUUCAGGAACGACCAGCGGGAAGUUCCCGACCCUAAAAUCCGGUGAAACACGCAGAUCCCGUGACUGUGGACCGCGCUUACGAGCUGCUCCGUAUUUCUACCCCUUUGUUAUCCUAGCCUCAUCCUGCCGCGGCUUAAAGCGGCUUAACCGACGUCUCUGUUUCUCCGUCGGACGAUUUUAAUUCGUUGCAAAAACUGGGGGAGAAAGGCGGCCGAAACUCUUGCGUUGGGAAGACGCGCCAGAUUUCAGAGAAUCUUCGUCCGCAAAGGGUUAAUAAAGAAAAUUAGGCAUCCAAAAUAGGUAAAAACAAAGUUCCUCGCGCAGAAUUCUCAAAUCUGUGCUGGCAGUUACUUCGCCAAUAGAGAGCCACUCCUAGUCAGAGUGAAUUUUUGCGUUCCACGGUCGCCUCGAAUCUCUAAAUUAAAUCGGAGCGCAAGAGGCUACAAACCAGUGGUAACCAUCACGGAGAAAAAUAAGCACGGGCUAUUUCGCGUCUCUGUUUCCUUCCUCUCGGCAUUGUUACCGAUCGCGGCUGCUUACGCGAGCAUUUCCGGCGAGUUCUUUGGGCGAAGGCGAUGUCUAGCACCGGAAAACCUGCAGGGUGCCGUACACGUCGAUGCAACGACACGGGUAUUAACAACACUUUGACUGGAGAGUGAACAUUCGGCAAAAUUCCUAUGCGGAGGAAACAGUUUUCUUAACGCUAGAUUUACGGAUAUUUAGUGUUCGUUGUAUCUUAGGAAGAUGGAUAUUUGUUUAGAUUUUGGAAAUAUAAAUAAACGAUUAGAAUGUAUAUUUGCGUAACUGUCAGUCAAAAUUGACUCUGACAUUUUGAAUGUUUAUAGAAUUCAAUGAGUCAACUUGACUCGUUCCGUGAAUCUAGUGUUAAUAAACUAGAAGCUAACAUUGUAAUGUUUAAGUUUCUGUAAAAUAGUGUCACAUGGUAGGUGAAGUGUUAAAGGAUUCCUGAAUGUACUGGUACGAAGUCUGUGUCAGUGUUUCCCAAGAUAGCAGUGCUAAAUGCGUCGCAUUGAUUUUGUAAAUCUGAACUUCCUCUGAGACGGGAGACAACUGCCGACAACCAAUGCUAAAAGGUCCAAUUUAAAUCGUCAACCGCCCUCGUCCCUCGCUGCGUCUCAAAAACCAAAGUCUCCUCUAAAGCCCCGCGGCUCGCAUUCCCUUCUUGGGAACUAGGACGAAAGGAGCGCAUUCCUGUCUGUCGAGAAUGAAAUCCAAGCCUCGUCGCGCGGUUCGCGUGUCAAAGUCCUCGAUCGAGUUCAGCUCGCGGAACCGUGAAUGGAAUCCCAUUAGGAACGGAGCAUCGAGGACACGUUCGUUCAGCGAUCGGCGAUCCGGUUCCGCGCGAGAACGCCGCUGGACGAGGAUCGGCGGGGUUACGUCCGUGACGGAGAUAGAUAAAUAGAUAAGUAGAUGGACGCGGAGGAGGAUGGGGCGACGGAUAACUAGGCCGAGAGGGAACCGAGAGGAAACCGAGAGGAAACCGAGAGGGAACCGAGAGGGAGCCGAGAGGGAGAAAGACAUGGGAAGACAGACUUUCGUAGAGGGUGGAGUUAGAGGGUCGAAGGAAAGAAAACGGGGAACCUUGGGCGUGUACCACAAAUGGUACACGUGGCACGGAACGUGUCGGAGAACGCGGAAGCGAAUGAACGAGGCGGAGCACCCGGUUCCCAGGAAUCUGCGAACCUUCGAGGGACCCUGGGCAGGCGUCGGCGCUUUUGUAUCGACGGUCGAUCGCGCCUGUACCAAAGUUGUUCUCCAUUCUUCCAUUCCGUUUAGCGGGCGACCGCGUACGACUGCAGCGCGCAGCUCGAUUAGCCGGUGAAAUCGAUCGAAGUGGUUCACGCGUGUUCGUCGAUAACACGGGCACGCUCUCGAGGCAUUCGGUUCAUGUUGCGUUGGAGUACUCGACCGAACCUGAGACCCGGCCAUGGUAUUUCCGAUCGAUCAGGCGAGAACCACUCGUCCCCGGCUACUCGAAAAUAUCGGAGGGGGCGUUUUAAGUUUUCAUUUGAAAAAAUCCGGUGACCCGCUCCGGGUAAAGAUCUUUCGCGAGCGCACCGCGUUGACCCCGAUUUCGAGCGUGUUUUCGCCACUUAAUCGUAGCUGCGUGGAAGCCUGAAACGAUAAACUACAGUCAGGCUCGCUGGAAGAAUGGUAGUCCCUUCUUAACGUCGGAGCACCGGCACGGUCAUUUUUCUCCGGGGUUUCGUGAGACGUCACAGGCCUGGGAAAAUCUUCUGGAAACCGUUCCCAGCCGUUUCGCCAUCAUUGCAGCUGGCUUCAGGGGUUAAAGACACAUUGGUUAUGGAAGACCCGACGCGACAUCUGCGCCGCGAACUAUGCUUUCCCGCGCGCACUCGGGCCAGCGGGUGAUGGAUGAUCUCGAGUAAAAGUUGGACACAAGUGCAGACCUGGUGUAUACAGCCGCAGUUCCCGCGGUCGUGUAAUUAAUAGUCCCACAUUUGCAUCCGGCUGAUAUUAUUCUAUGAUCAACGAGUGAAACUCGGCCCGGGUGUAAUUGAACCGCGCGUCCCAUGAAAUUAUUAAUCGAACCGGCACCGAACGAGGAUCAAUGGGGUCCGUGCCGGUGACAGAAACGUGCCGCCCUCGCCGCUGCAUUCUAUAGCCUUCCUUCGCCCGAUUAAAUUCACCUAUCCGACGAAGGAAUGAAAAAUUCAAGGGACGAUUUACGAUCGAUCGCUCUGGCCGCAAGAGGAUUUUGAGGUUAUGUCCUCGACGCUCGACGAAUUCGAAGGUAUAUCGGCCAAGGUCGAUAUCUACGACAGCUGAUCGCCGGGAUAAGCAUCUACCAGAGAUAGCCGAGAGGAAAAUGGAUACGGAGCGAGCAGCUCGCGUCGGUGUUUGGUGUCUACGGCAGCGGCGCCGGCAUCGUUCGCAAACAUGGGACAUUGUGCCUUUCCAGUGGCUGUUUCCUCGAUACGUGUCCAACAGGCGCCGAUAAAGGGCCUGCAGAACCCUUCCUAAACAAAGGGACCAUCCACAUUCAACGGCGGCGCUUUGUCGAUCGUAUCGCAGGCCAGAGUAAACAGAGGUCGUCCCGGAGAAGCCCGAUGCUCUAAAUCUCGAGGCGAACCGCGAACCUCGGACUGGGACAUGCUCUGGGAGCUGGUUCAUCGCAGGAACGGAGGAAUACUCCUCCCCUGGCAUCAUAACCAACAGCGAACUACCAUCGAAAAUCAGAAGAGAAGAGAUGAAAACUGACUAACAAGAGAUUCCUCAGCCACCGAGUGAUCCACGAAUUCUACGUCAACACCGACUGCCUGCCGUCCGACCGCACGUUGACCUAUGCUACCGCGGCCGACAGCUCGCCGAUCUGUACCGCUUCGUUCGUCCCUGCAGAGACUCCAACCGCUUCGUCCGGGGGUGAGCGAGCGAGCGAGCGGGCUCUUCGCUAAUAACUUUCCCGAGGCCUGGAGACGACGACGACGACGCCGCUCUUAAUUUAUUCGCCGUCCGGCCGGCCGAUUAAAACCGGCGGAAAAUUGCGCGCGGAGAGAUAAGGAGCGGUACCGAUGCUAUCAAACGGGACACAAUUUCUCUCGCGGCGGUCUCAUCGCCGCGCCGGGGAUUUCAAUUUAAUGAAGACGCCUCGCGCGACGAAGCGUCGCGAUUCAUCGGGCGAAAUACUCCCUGGAUCGGUGGGAAGAGGACGUGCUCCCGAUUUUUACGGAAGAAGAUGGAGAAUCAAAGGGAAUGGAGUAUCGUUUUGGGAACGGUGUGGGGGAAGCUUUAUGGUCGCUGCAGUACCGAUAGUGGCGUUACCGACUGCGGUGCUGUUCGAUCUGAUUAUCGACCGAUCUUCGGGCUGCCCCUGGGGUAGGCAAUGUGCUGCACUCGCGUGCGCCGUGGAGGAUCGUGAUAUAUUUGAAAUCUUAUUGAUAAUUGAUUAUUUUGAGGUAGUGAAGGAUUAGAAUUGUUUCAAUGGUAACGUAAAUGUUGAAGA
Molecule: non-coding RNA, 5127 nt
Organism: Nomia melanderi (Alkali bee)
Lineage: Eukaryota; Metazoa; Arthropoda; Insecta; Hymenoptera; Halictidae
Source: RefSeq, a predicted model, not a curated record